RNAcentral lists this ribosomal RNA (209 nucleotides) under uncultured bacterium. RNAcentral describes it as "partial 16S ribosomal RNA". It matches the Rfam family "Bacterial small subunit ribosomal RNA", at positions 568 to 775 of the family's 1533-position model. The record is from RNAcentral.
UGCGUAGACUGUAUGUUAAGUUCGUUGUUAAAUUCUCCGGCCUAACCGGAGGCAAGCAAUGAAAACUGGCGUACUAGAGGGUGGGAGAGAGAAGUGGAAUUCCCGGAGUAGCGGUAAAAUAGCGUAGAUCUCGGGAGGAACACCAAUAGCGAAGGCAGCUUCUUGGCCCAUUCCUGACGUUGAGGCACGAAAGCGUGGGGAGCAAACAA